AUUCGACCUGAGCUCAGGCAAGAGCACCCGCUGAACUUA
Molecule: ribosomal RNA, 39 nt
Filed under: Botryococcus braunii
Lineage: Eukaryota; Viridiplantae; Chlorophyta; Trebouxiophyceae
Description: partial 28S ribosomal RNA
Source: RNAcentral